CGCUGGCGGCAUGCUUAACACAUGCAAGUCGCACGGGCAGUAGCAAUACUGUCAGUGGCGGACGGGUGAGUAACGCGUAGGAAUCUAUCCUUGAAUGGGGGACAACCGUGGGAAACUACGGCUAAUACCGCAUGAUGCCUGAGGGCCAAAGACGAAAGUCGUUUGAGGAGGAGCCUGCGUCUGAUUAGGUAGUUGGUGGGGUAAAGGCCUACCAAGCCCUACGAUCAGUAGCUGGUCUGAGAGGAUGAUCAGCCACAUUGGGACUGAGACACGGCCCAAACUCCUACGGGAGGCAGCAGUGGGGAAUAUUGGACAAUGGGCGCAAGCCUGAUCCAGCAAUGCCGCGUGGGUGAAGAAGGUCUUCGGAUUGUAAAGCCCUUUUGGCGGGGACGAUGAUGACGGUACCCGCAGAAUAAGCUCCGGCUAACUUCGUG
Molecule: ribosomal RNA, 434 nt
Filed under: uncultured bacterium
Lineage: Bacteria
Description: bacterial SSU rRNA
Rfam family: Bacterial small subunit ribosomal RNA
Source: RNAcentral